RNAcentral lists this ribosomal RNA (246 nucleotides) under uncultured bacterium. Its description in RNAcentral is "partial 16S ribosomal RNA". It matches the Rfam family "Bacterial small subunit ribosomal RNA", at positions 333 to 595 of the family's 1533-position model. The record is from RNAcentral.
UUAGCCCUAUGGGAGGCAGCAGUGGGGGAUAUUGCACAAUGGGGGGAACCCUGAUGCAGCGACGCCGCGUGUGGGAAGACGGUCCUCUGGAUUGUAGACCACUGUCCCCAGGGACGAAAAUGACGGUACCUGGGGAGGAAGCUCCGGCUAACUACGUGCCAGCAGCCGCGGUAAUACGUAGGGAGCGAGCGUUGUCCGGAAUUACUGGGUGUAAAGGGAGCGUAGGCGGGGAAGCAAGUUGGGUGU